RNAcentral lists this ribosomal RNA (466 nucleotides) under uncultured Alphaproteobacteria bacterium. RNAcentral describes it as "bacterial SSU rRNA". It matches the Rfam family "Bacterial small subunit ribosomal RNA", at positions 9 to 524 of the family's 1533-position model. Lineage: Bacteria; Pseudomonadati; Pseudomonadota; Alphaproteobacteria. The record is from RNAcentral.
GAGUUUGAUCAUGGCUCAGAACGAACGCUGGCGGCAGGCUUAACACAUGCAAGUCGAACGCCCCGCAAGGGGAGUGGCAGACGGGUGAGUAACACGUGGGAACGUGCCCUAAGGUUCGGAAUAUUCCCGGGAAACUGGGAGCAAUACCGAAUGUGACCGCAAGGUGAAAGAUUUAUCGCCUUAGGAUCGGCCCGCGUCGGAUUAGCUAGUUGGUGGGGUAAAAGCCUACCAAGGCGACGAUCCGUAGCUGGUCUGAGAGGACGACCAGCCACACUGGGACUGAGACACGGCCCAGACUCCUACGGGAGGCAGCAGUGGGGAAUCUUGGACAAUGGGCGCAAGCCUGAUCCAGCCAUGCCGCGUGGAUGAUGAAGGCCUUAGGGUUGUAAAAUCCUUUCGUCAGGGACGAUAAUGACGGUACCUGAAGAGAAGCCCCGGCUAACUUCGUGCCAGCCGCCGCCGUAAU